This is a small nuclear RNA of Phyllostomus discolor (pale spear-nosed bat), 107 nucleotides long. Lineage: Eukaryota; Metazoa; Chordata; Mammalia; Chiroptera; Phyllostomidae. The record is from RefSeq and is a predicted model, not a curated record.
GUGCUCGCUUUGGCAGCACAUAUACAAAAAUUAGAAAAAUACAGAAAGGACUAGGAUGGCCCCUGCGCAAGGAUGACACGCAAAUUCAUGAAGCAUUCCAUAUUUUU